This 386-nucleotide ribosomal RNA is filed under the name uncultured bacterium. RNAcentral's name for it is "bacterial SSU rRNA". It matches the Rfam family "Archaeal small subunit ribosomal RNA", at positions 339 to 726 of the family's 1478-position model. The record is from RNAcentral.
GCGCGAAAACUUUACAAUGCUGGCAACAGCGAUAAGGGAACCUCGAGUGCCAGGUUACAAAUCUGGCUGUCGAGAUGCCUAAAAAGCAUUUCAUAGCAAGGGCCGGGCAAGACUGGUGCCAGCCGCCGCGGUAACACCGGCGGCUCGAGUGGUAACCGUUAUUAUUGGGUCUAAAGGGUCUGUAGCCGGCCGGAUAAGUCUCUUGAGAAAUCUGGCAGCUUAACUGUCAGGCUUUCAGGAGAUACUGUCUGGCUCGAGGCCGGGAGAGGUGAGAGGUACUCAGGGGUAGGGGUGAAAUCUUGUAAUCCUUGAAGGACCACCAGUGGCGAAGGCGUCUCACCAGAACGGACCUGACGGCAAGGGACGAAAGCUAGGGGCACGAACCG